RNAcentral lists this ribosomal RNA (465 nucleotides) under Vreelandella stevensii. Its description in RNAcentral is "partial 16S ribosomal RNA". It matches the Rfam family "Bacterial small subunit ribosomal RNA", at positions 338 to 795 of the family's 1533-position model. Lineage: Bacteria; Pseudomonadati; Pseudomonadota; Gammaproteobacteria; Oceanospirillales; Halomonadaceae. The record is from RNAcentral.
CCUACGUGGUGCUGCAGUGGGGAAUAUUGGACAAUGGGCGAAAGCCUGAUCCAGCCAUGCCGCGUGUGUGAAGAAGGCCUUCGGGUUGUAAAGCACUUUCAGUGGGGAAGAAAGCCUUGGGGCUAAUACCCUCGAGGAAGGACAUCACCCACAGAAGAAGCACCGGCUAACUCCGUGCCAGCAGCCGCGGUAAUACGGAGGGUGCGAGCGUUAAUCGGAAUUACUGGGCGUAAAGCGCGCGUAGGCGGUCUGAUAAGCCGGUUGUGAAAGCCCCGGGCUCAACCUGGGAACGGCAUCCGGAACUGUCAGGCUAGAGUGCAGGAGAGGAAGGUAGAAUUCCCGGUGUAGCGGUGAAAUGCGUAGAGAACGGGAGGAAUACCAGUGGCGAAGGCGGCCUUCUGGACUGACACUGACGCUGAGGUGCGAAAGCGUGGGUAGCAAACAGGAUUAGAUACCCGGGUAGUC